UCUCCCUCCGCAUCCGCGACUCCGACGACGACGAGUCACGAGAGGGGAGGCUCGUUCUUGAUCCAUGGCGGGCUCCUCCUCCGAGCUGAUCUACCGCCGCGGCCACGACGCGCAGCCGGCCGCGGGUGACGUUGACGGCUGCGGCGUGAUGGCCGCCGCCGGGUACUCAUCAUCGGCCAAGCCGCCGCACAAGCCACCACUCGGCCCGCUGCGGUAUCUGCUCGCCGAGCAGCGGCUGGUGUUCGCGCUCGUCGGCAUGGCCAUCGCGUCGCUGGUCUUCCUCCUGGCGGCUCCGUCGUCGGGGAACGGAGGCCGCCACGAGGUGAUGAACGGCGGCGCGGCGCGGCUGGCGGCGGCGGGGCUGGCGGUGCGGCAGUACUCCGGCGUGGCGGCGGCGGCGGCGGGGGCGCGCGUGCCGCUGGGGCUGAAGAAGAAGGUGCUCCGCGUGGUGGUGACGGGGGGAGCC
RNAcentral lists this long non-coding RNA (466 nucleotides) under Oryza sativa Indica Group (long-grained rice). Its description in RNAcentral is "lncRNA OsLiXu_Ung0041070". The record is from RNAcentral. Lineage: Eukaryota; Viridiplantae; Streptophyta; Magnoliopsida; Poales; Poaceae.